GGAGAGGUGGCCGAGUGGUCGAAGGCGCACGCCUGGAAAGUGUGUAUACGGCAACGUAUCAUGGGUUCGAAUCCCAUCCCCUCCGCCA
RNAcentral lists this transfer RNA (88 nucleotides) under Gammaproteobacteria bacterium. Its description in RNAcentral is "tRNA-Ser". It matches the Rfam family "tRNA". From Rfam's summary of the family: Transfer RNA (tRNA) molecules are approximately 80 nucleotides in length. Lineage: Bacteria; Pseudomonadati; Pseudomonadota; Gammaproteobacteria. RNAcentral also lists the same sequence under 2 other names. The record is from RNAcentral.